RNAcentral lists this ribosomal RNA (220 nucleotides) under uncultured bacterium. Its description in RNAcentral is "partial 16S ribosomal RNA". It matches the Rfam family "Bacterial small subunit ribosomal RNA", at positions 114 to 334 of the family's 1533-position model. The record is from RNAcentral.
CGCGUAAGAACUUGCCUCACAGCUAGGGACAACAUUUAGAAAUGAAUGCUAAUACCUGAUAUUAUGAUUUUAAGGCAUCUUAGAAUUAUGAAAGCUAUAAGCACUGUGAGAGAGCUUUGCGUCCCAUUAGCUAGUUGGAGAGGUAACAGCUCACCAAGGCGAUGAUGGGUAGCCGGCCUGAGAGGGUGAACGGCCACAAGGGGACUGAGGCACGGCCCUU